RNAcentral lists this transfer RNA (79 nucleotides) under Streptomyces aurantiacus. RNAcentral's name for it is "tRNA-Leu". The record is from RNAcentral. Lineage: Bacteria; Bacillati; Actinomycetota; Actinomycetes; Kitasatosporales; Streptomycetaceae.
CGGGGUCCUCGACGGCGACCGUGUCCCCGGGCCUGAGAUGCGCGGCCAGGACCCGUUCGAUGGCGUCGAGCGACCCCGA